GACGAACGCUGGCGGUGUGCCUAAUACAUGCAAGUCGAGCGACGCAUAUCGGAGGGGUAACCCACUGGUAUGACGGAGCGGCGAACGGGUGCGUAACACGUGAGCAACCUGCCCCACAGACCGGGAUAGCCCGAGGAAACUCGGAUUAACACCGGAUACCCUCACCGGACCGCAUGGCCUGGUGAGGAAAGACUUUUGUGCUGUGGGAUGGGCUCGCGGCCUAUCAGCUAGUUGGUGAGGUAACGGCUCACCAAGGCAACGACGGGUAGCUGGUCUGAGAGGAUGAUCAGCCACACUGGAACUGAGACACGGUCCAGACUCCUACGGGAGGCAGCAGUAGGGAAUCUUGCGCAAUGGGCGAAAGCCUGACGCAGCAACACCGCGUGAGGGAUGACGGCCUUCGGGUUGUAAACCUCUUUCAGGAGGGACGAAAAUGACGGUACCUCCAGAAGAAGCCCCGGCCAACUACG
RNAcentral lists this ribosomal RNA (470 nucleotides) under uncultured Acidimicrobiales bacterium. RNAcentral's name for it is "bacterial SSU rRNA". It matches the Rfam family "Bacterial small subunit ribosomal RNA", at positions 28 to 505 of the family's 1533-position model. Lineage: Bacteria; Bacillati; Actinomycetota; Acidimicrobiia; Acidimicrobiales. The record is from RNAcentral.